RNAcentral lists this unclassified non-coding RNA (143 nucleotides) under uncultured Capnodiales. RNAcentral describes it as "sequence contains ITS2". The record is from RNAcentral. Lineage: Eukaryota; Fungi; Ascomycota; Dothideomycetes; Capnodiales.
CACCAAUCAAGCCCGGCUUGGUAUUGGACCACGGGGGCGACCCGGGUCCUAAAGUCUGUCGGCUGGAAAGCUCUGAUCUCAGCGUCGUGGUUAAUCAAUUCGCCGACGAGAGGAGUGAUCCACGCCGUGAAGUUCACUACAGG